Molecule: long non-coding RNA, 1045 nt
Organism: Triplophysa rosa
Lineage: Eukaryota; Metazoa; Chordata; Actinopteri; Cypriniformes; Nemacheilidae
Exons: 3
Source: RefSeq, a predicted model, not a curated record
AUAGACGCGGACAAAGGAAUUGGCUGAACAGAAGUGAGCCAUCAGAGAGGACAAUAGGAGGCCAAUUCAUCAAUUUCAAGAGCGGCUUCACCUUUAGUGCAGUUUAAGACACCAGACCUCUCACAGAAGACGUGCAGAAGGAGUGUUAUUUCGCUGUUGGACAUUUGGACAUCAGCCCUUGUGUUAGUCCAUCUGUGGUGCUGUUGAUGUGACAUUCUUGGCACCUGUACUGUAUCCGCCGGCCUCCUUGAUAUUUCACACGGAUGACUUUGAUUGCAGAGCGUACGGGGAUCUCCAGGGACAUUGCCGAACGGAGCGACUGCAGGGCUUGCAUCAGGUCGAAUCCUUUCUGAAUAUUUAGGGGGCUGCUGUGGUCCGCAGGGUCAUCUCAAUAUGUCUAUUAUUCUCUCAGCACCUGGGAUUAUGCAGUGUCUCUGAGUCUUAAAGGAUUUGGAGAAAUCAGAAAGGGCAAGUCCGGCAAGACUACACGAAGCCCAACUAUGGAUUCAGAUAAGCCGGCUUAUUGCGUGGUCGGUGCAACUGUACUCCGUGCGGUGGAACAGCUGCUGUCCGUGAGCAGUGGCUUCAUGACGGCUGGGUUCAUGCUGAUUUUAGCACAGCUCCUGGCAUCCUCUGGUUCUUGAUUCUCUGGGGCGGAGGCUUUGAAUAGCUCUCCACCCCUUUCUGUUUCCUCCUGUGUUCUGGCAACUCUGAUUCGUUGCCUGUUGGGUGCCGCAGCAGUGCAGCUGACAAAGCAAAGAGUGCAGAACUAUCCAGAAAGCCUGAUGCGACUGUGUGUGUGUGUGUGUGUGUGUAUGUUUGAAUGUGUGUGUGGAAGGACGUGAGCACUAUUCUGAGUUACUAGGAUGAGGAUGUCUGUGACUUUAUGUAUCGAAGAUGUCUGUGGUUUUUAGUGACGUAACAGGGUUAUCUGAGUGUGGCUUUUAGGGAAGGAAUGCAGUGUGUGCAUUAUGAAACCUAUUGAAACAAGGCUUAUGGAAAAAAUUAAAAGACCAUUUCAAAAUGUUUUUUUUUUAAAUUUACU